Apus apus (common swift) is the source of this 1764-nucleotide long non-coding RNA. RefSeq lists it as uncharacterized. The transcript has 3 exons. Lineage: Eukaryota; Metazoa; Chordata; Aves; Apodiformes; Apodidae. The record is from RefSeq and is a predicted model, not a curated record.
UCAUCUGCCUAGAAGAUAUCCCGGACUUUUAAAACACUAUGCAGAUACUUUGCUACAGGGGUCUGACAGCUUGCUGCCUAUUUGAGCUAAGUUUUCUGACUUUCUAAUGGCAGCUCUGAGAGACGAUGCUCACUCCUUCUGGGUGCUCUUUUACACACGCUGAUCAUGAAAGGCACACUCAUGCUACAGUCUCCCAAGGAUUUCUUGUUGCUUCUGCUUUCACAGCCAUCCUAAUAACUUUGGGUUGUAAGAACAUGCUCUACAUCUUAAAUGUCUGCCUGGUUGCAUCAUGCACUUGAUCUCAGCCCUAAAUUCAUGCUGAGGUAAGUGUGCUUUUACAAAAGUUCUUCCUCGAGGGAGUCAGUGAGAAGCAGUGUGGUGUCAUCAUUACCUUGCCAUUCUGUCAUCUCAGUGUCAAGAUUGGCAAGCUGAGGUUGUAGCUGAGACGAACAGGUAAGUUUUUUCUAUACAUUUAAUGGAAAAGUGAUUCAAAGGUGAUACUAACAAAAGUCAUCUGUGUCAAGGCUUCGAACACCAGGUCCUCCCACAGAAAAAAACACAACUAAAGAAGCCAUCAGAAAAGCAAUGUGGAAGGAAGCCUAAAAGACUGGCUUCGUCCACCUUUGUGAGUCUGAUGCAGCAGUUGUGCUAGGAACGUCUUUGGAGCAGUUAUGGAUAAGGCUACAACAACAGGAAAGAAUGAAUAAAACCAGUGGAGCUAUGGAAAACGGUAUCACCCAGUGACUCGCAGCCAUGAUGGAGGUUGGCAUUUCUAAGUGGCGAUCUCACAGCUGUUACAGGCAGUGUAGUGCCACAGGUCACAUCUUGGAAAAUGGGAGCAACUGCUGUGUUAGCAAAAGGGAAAAAACUAGUGCUGUUGAAAAGACUAUCAAAAAAUAUCUACUAGCUGGCUCAAAGAUGAUCAAUGUAGGGUCUAUAUACCAAAAAAAAUACAUUCUGCAGCAGUUAAAAACAUAAAAACAGCACUCAAGGUUCCAAAAUAUUUUCCAGGGCUAUGAUGCUUCUCAUAUGUUAAGGGCUAUAAAUUAUCAGAUGAAAGUAUUAGUUUCACUAAGGCAGAAACAUGAACAGGUACUAAUCAAUGUGAUUCUGUUCUUCAGUCAAAAGUUGAUAUGUUUGCCAUUAAGCUGCUUAUAUUACGCUAUUUAACAAAGUAUUUUUAGUCCUUUUUAUGUUUAGGAAGGGGAAAUUACUGUGAUAAAAGGAACAACACACAAUGAUAACUGUUCUGUUUGUAAUUUAUCUGGUGUCUGCAUGGCAAGACAGCUUCAGUUUGAUGUCAGGUGUACCAUUUAGAAGAAACUAUUUACUUUACUCUGCAGUAGUAUUUUAGUUUACUCUGGUCAUAAAAUACUACAAUGUUUCCAGCCGAAACUCUACUGUGUCACUCUUCUGUGGCAAUACUCUGCACUCAGCUUCUGUUUGAUGCUGGAACCAGGACAUAAAAAUAAUUCUCAAAAGAAUAGUGCACUGCUAUGUAAAAAUAUGGAUAUCAACAUUCAAUAUUGCACAGUGAAUAAAAAAUGAUACUAUUAUAAACAUACUUAGUUGGGAAUAGGACUGGUCCUAAAUCUGCAAUAUAUUAAAAACUCAAUGGAUUUGUAUACAAACAGAAGGCAAGUAGUUCUUGAUGCUGUUGAAAAUAAUUCUUGUCCCUCAGUUCCUUCUCAUUAAAUUGUCAAUUGCCUGAAUUUCUUAUCUUCAUGAUUCUAUAUUAAAAUUACUAGGAAUGCUGUCACAAAA